This 132-nucleotide non-coding RNA is filed under the name Linepithema humile (Argentine ant). Lineage: Eukaryota; Metazoa; Arthropoda; Insecta; Hymenoptera; Formicidae. The record is from RNAcentral.
UUUAGUUGCGUCGCGUGGUGUCGAAAGACGCAGUUGAUAAAUGAAAAUAUAACCUAACCUCUUCUCUAAGCCGGAAGCCCUCGGACCGGCUUAAAAUAAACCAAGGGUUACGCGACGUUUUUUUUUAAUGCU